RNAcentral lists this ribosomal RNA (429 nucleotides) under bacterium. RNAcentral describes it as "partial 16S ribosomal RNA". It matches the Rfam family "Bacterial small subunit ribosomal RNA", at positions 355 to 776 of the family's 1533-position model. The record is from RNAcentral.
UAGGGAAUCUUCGGCAAUGGGGGCAACCCUGACCGAGCAACGCCGCGUGAGUGAAGAAGGUUUUCGGAUCGUAAAGCUCUGUUGUAAGAGAAGAACGUGUGUGAGAGUGGAAAGUUCACACAGUGACGGUAACUUACCAGAAAGGGACGGCUAACUACGUGCCAGCAGCCGCGGUAAUACGUAGGUCCCGAGCGUUGUCCGGAUUUAUUGGGCGUAAAGCGAGCGCAGGCGGUUUAAUAAGUCUGAAGUUAAAGGCAGUGGCUUAACCAUUGUUCGCUUUGGAAACUGUUAAACUUGAGUGCAGCAGGGGAGAGUGGAAUUCCAUGUGUAGCUGUGAAAUGCGUAGAUAUAUGGAGGAACACCGGUGGCGAAAGCGGCUCUCUGGUCUGUAACUGACGCUGAGGCUCGAAAGCGUGGGGAGCAAACAGG